CACAGCCCACGCCCUGGUCCGUCCAGGGGCAGAUGGGGGGUGCGCCAGCGCCCAACCCCACACUCUCUGCGUACGAAUCCCCGUUGCUUCCCCGGGGAGGGACAAACCACCCCGGGGGAGGACCACCCAGGAGCACACGAUGCCGACCAACAGACCUUUCCACCCCCCCCUGUCUGAAGGGCCAGAGUGCCAUGAAGUAAGGAGCGAGCGAAAGAGACGAAUGCAAA
Molecule: unclassified non-coding RNA, 227 nt
Filed under: uncultured Helvellaceae
Lineage: Eukaryota; Fungi; Ascomycota; Pezizomycetes; Pezizales; Helvellaceae
Description: sequence contains ITS1
Source: RNAcentral